RNAcentral lists this ribosomal RNA (212 nucleotides) under uncultured bacterium. RNAcentral describes it as "partial 16S ribosomal RNA". It matches the Rfam family "Bacterial small subunit ribosomal RNA", at positions 1289 to 1500 of the family's 1533-position model. The record is from RNAcentral.
CAGUUCGGAUUGUAGGCUGCAACUCGCCUACAUGAAGUUGGAAUCGCUAGUAAUCGCGAAUCAGAAUGUCGCGGUGAAUACGUUCCCGGGUCUUGUACACACCGCCCGUCACACCACGAGAGUUUACAACACCCGAAGUCAGUGGCCUAACCGCAAGGAGGGAGCUGCCUAAGGUGGGGUAGAUGAUUGGGGUGAAGUCGUAACAAGGUAGC